RNAcentral lists this ribosomal RNA (468 nucleotides) under uncultured bacterium. RNAcentral's name for it is "partial 16S ribosomal RNA". It matches the Rfam family "Bacterial small subunit ribosomal RNA", at positions 28 to 507 of the family's 1533-position model. The record is from RNAcentral.
GACGAACGAGGGGGGAGGGAGGAACACAUGCAAGUCGAACGGUGAAGCUCCAGCUUGCUGGAGUGGAUCAGUGGCGAACGGGUGAGUAACACGUGAGCAACCUGCCCCUGACUCUGGAAUAAGCGCUGGAAACGGCGUCUAAUACUGGAUACGAGAAGGGUCCGCAUGGGCACUUUCUGGAAAGUUUUUCGGUUGGGGAUGGGCUCGCGGCCUAUCAGCUUGUUGGUGAGGUAAUGGCUCACAAAGGCGACGACGGGUAGCCGGCCUGAGAGGGCGACCGGCCACACUGGGACUGAGACACGGCCCAGACUCCUACGGGAGGCAGCAGUGGGGAAUAUUGCACAAUGGGCGAAAGCCUGAUGCAGCGACGCCGCGUGAGGGAUGACGGCCUUCGGGUUGUAAACCUCUUUCAGCAGGGAAGAAGCGAAAGUGACGGUACCUGCAGAAGAAGCACCGGCUAACUACGUG